RNAcentral lists this long non-coding RNA (528 nucleotides) under Brassica rapa (field mustard). Its description in RNAcentral is "long non-coding RNA (BRAP_LNC004037)". Lineage: Eukaryota; Viridiplantae; Streptophyta; Magnoliopsida; Brassicales; Brassicaceae. The record is from RNAcentral.
CUCAUCCGUCGAUGAGUGGCAGUGAGGAGAAGACGUUGGUCUCUGCAGGGAGGUGAUGAUAUGGUGCUGAGAGCGAAUAAACAUUUUUCUGUACAGUUUGGGUGAUAGUAGUUACUAGCAACUGAAUAUGUAUUGCAGUUGUCUGUUCUUGGAGCAGCCGGUUUAAUGGGGUUUAGUUUUUUUUUAGGGGGGGGGUGGGGGGGGAUCCACCUGAGCAAAACCGGUUCGGGUUUUGCUGAGUUCUUAUGGAUAGUGGAAGGUUGUGCGUUUGGGCACAGUGGGAAGAAAGCUUUCUACUUCAAUCAGCUUUAGUAUAACUUUUGUUUCUUGGCUUGUUUUUUUUAUUGCUUUUGAGCCUUUAAGGUGUUUCUAUGUAAGUAAAAAUAUCCAUGUGAAAAUUAUGAUACAAUGUCAUUUAUGAUGGCAUUCUCUAUGGAUUGAAGGUCUUUUCUAAAGCUUCUGUUUACAAGUUUUCAAAUGUUGGCGUUAGGCAUGUUUCCUCUCAUAUUAUGGAUUAAAUUGUGUUCG